Molecule: long non-coding RNA, 406 nt
Organism: Haliotis rubra (blacklip abalone)
Lineage: Eukaryota; Metazoa; Mollusca; Gastropoda; Lepetellida; Haliotidae
Exons: 3
Source: RefSeq, a predicted model, not a curated record
GGUGAUGGCAGGGGACGAGCAGCAACUCGCUGAACGGACGGCAAAGAAUCACACCUUGGAAAAGGGUUGGUCCUUCAGAAGUUCUUUCCUUGACGGAUGAGGAGUUCAAAACACUUGGGAUCGAAACCAUUGGCGAAAGAGCUAAACUCAGACAACGCUGCAAAGAUUUCAUCUGUGAAUCUAUACCAGAAUCACCAAUUGUCCAACGAGUGAAAAUGUUUCAGUCACAGAGGCGACGACAGGUAUUCCUAGUAUAUCCUAGUAUGUUCCCAGUUGUGGGGUAAAUGAAAUGCACUCUGUGUAAGAAAUGUUUUUACCACUCGAGUAACAAUUUUUCAGUUUUAACUGAUAACUAUUCUUAUUCAUAUUCUGAAUUUCUGGAGUAUUGGUUCUUCGGUUAUUCGUG